Molecule: long non-coding RNA, 2522 nt
Organism: Oryzias javanicus (javanese ricefish)
Lineage: Eukaryota; Metazoa; Chordata; Actinopteri; Beloniformes; Adrianichthyidae
Source: Ensembl
GUAAAAGCACGUACGGCAGAGUUUAACUUCUUUAAUCAAAUCCUUGAAUGAUCCAUGAAGAUUACCAGGAUGUCUGUUGAUCUCAGUUUGGAUACAAAUGAUUUUAUUUUUAUUUUACAUUUAAAGCUCAAACAGUUAAUUGAUUUAAAGUUCCGCAUGCAAUUAUUGUUAAACUUUCUUGUCCCUGUCCUAAAGUCGAGUUCAGGCUAGAAACAAAUCCCUUGCUUUUCUCCUCCACAGACCAGUUUCUCCCUCAGGUCUCUGGAUACUUUCACUUUCUGGAGGAUUUCAUCAUCAGCAGGCUCCGCCCCCUUUACUGCCUCAUAUGAUCCUGAUCCGUUUUCAGUUCUAACAAUCGUUUCCCAACCGUCUUCUGAGAAACAACUCCUCCAUCAAGUGAGUCAACAUCUGGUCUUUUUUUCAAUUUGACACCGUUUUUUGUUUUUUAAAUCUCAAAACUAGCUCUGAAUCGUUUCAAUCAGCCUGUUUGUGAACUAAAACCUUCAUUGAGAUUUUUUUCUUAUAACUUUGAAAAUGAAUAAAGCAAAUUUAAGGGUAGAAUUUGUUUGCAAACCGAAGCUGGAAGAUCAAGCGUUUCUUCAAGAUUUCUUCAGAGACGUUUCUGGUUGCAGAGGCGUGAAACUGCAGGUUACAGGUGUUUUACCUGCUACACUCGGGUUUGACAGCCUGCUGUGACACAUUUACUCACUUCUCAUGAUUAUAGUGAGAGACUCCGCUUAGAAAGAAGAAACAACUUGUUCUUUUAUUUGGAAAAUCAGUCGGCUAAGACAAAGAGGAUUCACUCGUUUUCUGAUGUUUGAACCUGCAGACGCCUCAUUUAUCUUUGUUUGAAUUCCAGAUGAACCCUCAGGAUGUCCUCCAUCUUCUUCAGGACGUUGGCGCUGAUGUCGGUGCUUCUGUGUGGAGUCUCGGCAGACGACGGUAUAUCACUACACUGCAACAAAACAUGGAAUGUUACAUUUGGAAAGGAACUGAAUCUCACGUGUUUCAUUAAAUUGAAACUAAACGACUGUAAAAAUGUUUCUGUUGAGUGGAACGACACAGUAGGGGACCUCUGUGUUAAUAACAAGUGUAUGUCUGACAACAAAACCUUUGCAACACUACAAAUGUUAAACGUCACUAAGGACAAGAACAUCACUGUUACAGUCGAGGCAGUUUGUGGCAGGGAUUCCAAGACUGUCAGUGUGAAGGUCAAUCCUGAAAACUUCCAAAGAUUAGAGUCAACACAAAGCCCAGAGGAACCCUUUUCUGACUUUGCCGUUGUUAUUGGAGUUGUUGGAGUUGUUGUAGUUGUUGUAGUUGUUGGAGUGGUUGUUCUGUAUAUGAUAUUCAAAAGGAAGUGCCCACCAUUGUCUUCGACAGCAGAAUCAGAUGCUUUGACAGACUCCGUAUAAAACGAACCUUUCAGCUCCGAAUGAACUUGUCAAGUUGGCCUGAGGAAAUCAUGUGACUUCCUUCAGCUCCGUCCGGCAGACGACGUCUUCACUUCUCUGCUGCUUCACUAACUCAGACCAGUUCAACCGUGUGAAGAACAAAAGAACAAGAGAGCAAAGCGCUCCGAUGUACGAGCAGGACUCAAACGCAUCAUGGAGACAAAACGCUGGCGAGUCCGGUCGGGUCGUCCCCAAAGUCAGGACCGAACACGAUGCAGAAACGAGGAGAAGAUGAUGAAGAAACGGGAUAUUUUAUGGAUCCAGGAUUUCUCUGGAGGUCCAGAGUUUCUCUGUUUUUAUGGAUUCAAGACAAAAUCUACCAAAUUAAUUGUUUUUUUGUAAAUUAUUUGCAUAAAAUCAACAAGUACCUUAAGUUUUUCCGAUGUCAAAUUAUUUUUAAAUCAUGAAUUUUUCCAUUCCCCGUGAACAAAAACAUGCUGUGAUUAUUUCAUUCAUGGUUUUCUGUCAUUCAGAUAAACUUGUUGGUUCUGUUUGUUUACAGCAUGUUUGUGUCUGUGAAGCCUUUUAAAUUAAUCUCUGUAAACAUUUUAUUCUCAAAUGUGAAUUUUAACCUGCAGGUCAAGGUUUGUGUAUGGGGACAUCAAUGGGUUACACUGCCCUCUAGUGGUGAAUCUAUGUAGCUUUUCUUUAAGAAAACACUGAAUCCAAAUCUUAAAUAUGUAAAAAAAAUACUGUAAAUAUGUGUAAAUAUAUGUUUUUUGUAAAUAUGUACAUCAUAUAAAGUUGUCUGCAUAUUAGCUGCUGCUUUUCUAAUAAAAACAUGAUGUUCAUGUCAGUCUAAUUAAAUGUUAUAUCAAUAUAAUUGGUGGAUAAAACAUUGAUCUGUGUGUGUGUUGGGAUUUAAUAUUUAUUUUAAUCUCUACAGUUGGUUUUGAUACAAAAACAUGAUCAUUUGUCAGUCACUGUGCUUUAUUGUGAAAAAUGUGUUAUAUUUUGAAAAUAAACUGGAUUUUCUCAUAUUGAUGUAACUUCCUACCAGAAUUGAUGCGGAUCGCUCACGCACAGAAUAGACCAGACGCCGAAAACGAUCCGCUGCACUUCCUUCCG